RNAcentral lists this long non-coding RNA (203 nucleotides) under Elaeis guineensis (African oil palm). RNAcentral's name for it is "long non-coding RNA (EGUI_LNC032582)". The record is from RNAcentral. Lineage: Eukaryota; Viridiplantae; Streptophyta; Magnoliopsida; Arecales; Arecaceae.
AGGACUAGAAUCUGAAUGUUUGAUCCCAUAAAAUGAUGGAAAUAUCGAUGGGUUAUAGAUGGAAGGAAUAAAAUAUUUCUUCAUCUGCCUAGGUGGUUCUCAAGAUUUUCAGCUAUUUGAUUAUCAGGUUUAACAUGGAUCAGCCGUUCAAUUUCAGAAUUGGAUUCAACUAGAUCAGGAUAAAGAGAUCUCCUACCAUGCAU